UACGAAGGGGGCUAGCGUUACUCGGAUUGACUGGGCGUAAAGGGCGCGUAGGCGGAUAGUACAGUCAGACGUGAAAUUCCUGGGCUCAACCUGGGGGCUGCGUUUGAUACGUGCUGUCUGGAGUUCGGAAGAGGGUCGUGGAAUUCCCAGUGUAGAGGUGAAAUUCGUAGAUAUUGGGAAGAACACCGGUGGCGAAGGCGGCGACCUGGUCCGAUACUGACGCUGAGGCGCGAAAGCGUGGGGAGCAAACAGG
Molecule: ribosomal RNA, 253 nt
Filed under: uncultured bacterium
Lineage: Bacteria
Description: partial 16S ribosomal RNA
Rfam family: Bacterial small subunit ribosomal RNA
Source: RNAcentral